CCUCCCAGAUCACACAACAUGGCUGUCCCUUGCUCUGCUCGUGUGUGUGUAUGUGUGUGUGUGUGGUGUGGUGCGUGUGGUGCAUGUGUGUGGUGUCUGUGUGUGUGGUAUGUGCGUGGUCUGUGUCUGGUGUGUGUAUGGUGUAUAUGUCUGUGUGUGGUGUGUGUGGUGUGUGUGUAUGGUGUGUGUGUGUGUGGUGUGUGUGUGUGGUGUGUGUGGUGUGUGUGUGUGGUGUGCGUAUGGUGUAUGUGUCUGUGGUGUGUGUGUGGUGUGUGUGUCUGGUAUUUGUGUGUGGUGUGUGUGUGGUGUAUGUGUGGUGCGUAUGGUGUAUGAGUCUGUGUGUGUGGUUGUCUGUGUGGUGUGUGUGUGUUGUGUGUGUGUGUGGUGUGUGUAUCUGUGUGGUGUGUGUCUGGUGUAUAUGUCUGUGUGUGUGGUGUGUGUGUGUGGUGUGUGAGUGGUGUGUGUCUGUGUCGUGUGUCUGUGUGGUGUGUGUGUAUGUGUGGUGUGUGUCUGUGUGGUGUGUGUGGUAUGUGUGUGUCUGUGUGUGAUGUUUAUGUGUGUGGUGUGUGUGUGGUGUAUGGUGUGUCUGUGUGUGGGUGUGUCUGUGUGAGGUGUGUGUGUGUGGCGUGUGUCUGUCUGUGUGUGUGGUGUGUGUCUGGGCCCCCAAGCUCUGGCUCCUGUAAGGCCACCUUUCCUGCCCCCUCCUCCUCUGAUCACAUCGUCGGGUAUGAGCCACAAGUCCCACCUGCUCUGCUGGACGGGACUUCCCUGGCCGGGGUGGGGCCUCGCUCAUCUCUGAACCUCCUCUCCCAACCCACCCUCCAGG
Molecule: long non-coding RNA, 826 nt
Filed under: Homo sapiens (human)
Lineage: Eukaryota; Metazoa; Chordata; Mammalia; Primates; Hominidae
Description: non-protein coding lnc-MAPKAP1-4:1
Source: RNAcentral